Long non-coding RNA from Helianthus annuus (common sunflower), 147 nucleotides. RefSeq lists it as uncharacterized. The transcript has 3 exons. The record is from RefSeq and is a predicted model, not a curated record. Lineage: Eukaryota; Viridiplantae; Streptophyta; Magnoliopsida; Asterales; Asteraceae.
AGCAUCUGGCAAUGAUCGGGGGAAUGGCGAUGGUAAGCGAAUGAAGAAUGAUGUGUCGGCAAAAGCAUCUGGCAAUGAUCGGGGGAAUGGCGAUGGUAAGCGAAUGAAGAAUGAUGUGUCGGCAAAAGCAUCUGGCAAUGAUCGGGG